CCCUUAGAUGUCCUGGGCCGCACGCGUGCUACACUGACGCCUACAGCGAGUACUUCCCAGCCCCGAGAGGUGGCUGGUAAUCAGCAAUAGGCGUCGUGGUGGGGAUAGAUCUUUGGAAUUAUGGAUCUUGAACGAGGAAUGCCUAGUAAGCGCAGGUCAUUAGCCUGCGCUGAUUAAGUCCCUGCCCUUUGUACACACCGCCCGUCGCUCCUACCGAUUUCGAGUGGUCCGGUGAAUCUUUCGGACUGCGCGCGGCCUCGUGCCGUGUCGCGGAAAGUCAGGUAAACCUUAUCACUUAGAGGAAGGAGAAGUCGUAACA
RNAcentral lists this ribosomal RNA (319 nucleotides) under uncultured eukaryote. Its description in RNAcentral is "partial 18S ribosomal RNA". It matches the Rfam family "Eukaryotic small subunit ribosomal RNA", at positions 1470 to 1796 of the family's 1831-position model. The record is from RNAcentral.